CACGUAGGGCGCGAGCGUGUCCGGAAUUAUUGGGCGUAAAGAGCUCGUAGGCGGCUUGUCACGUCGGUUGUGAAAGCCCCGGGGCUAACCCCGGGUCUGCAGUCGAUACGGGCAGGCUAGAGUGUGGUAGGGGAGAUCGGAAUUCCUGGUGUAGCGGUGAAAUGCGCAGAUAUCAGGAGGAACACCGGUGGCGAAGGCGGAUCUCUGGGCCAUUACUGACGCUGAGGAGCGAAAGCGUGGGGAGCGAACAGG
RNAcentral lists this ribosomal RNA (252 nucleotides) under uncultured bacterium. Its description in RNAcentral is "partial 16S ribosomal RNA". It matches the Rfam family "Bacterial small subunit ribosomal RNA", at positions 524 to 776 of the family's 1533-position model. The record is from RNAcentral.